This 177-nucleotide unclassified non-coding RNA is filed under the name soil metagenome. RNAcentral's name for it is "partial internal transcribed spacer 1". The record is from RNAcentral.
CCAAAACUUAGCUGCUCCAGUUCAGGCUGGUUUGCCACGCCUUCAACCCUUUGUGAACCAAAAACCUUUACGCCUUCGGCAAGCUGGUUCCAGCUGUGUAAGGCCUGCCCGAUGGCACCCAUUUAAACCUGUCGUUAAAUAUUUGUCUGAAACUAAAUAUUUUCGAAUGAAAAUUAA